This 391-nucleotide ribosomal RNA is filed under the name uncultured bacterium. RNAcentral describes it as "bacterial SSU rRNA". It matches the Rfam family "Bacterial small subunit ribosomal RNA", at positions 28 to 417 of the family's 1533-position model. The record is from RNAcentral.
GACGAACGCUGGCGGCGUGCUUAACACAUGCAAGUCGAGCGGUAAGGCCCUUUCGGGGGUACGACGAGCGGCGAACGGGUGAGUAACACGUGGGUGACCUGCCCUUAGCUCUGGGAUAAGCCUGGGAAACUGGGUCUAAUACCGGAUAUGACUCCAUGACGCAUGUUGUGGGGUGGAAAGCCUUGUGCGGCUAGGGAUGGGCCCGCGGCCUAUCAGCUUGUUGGUGGGGUGAUGGCCACCAAGGCGACGACGGGUAGCCGGCCUGAGAGGGCGACCGGCCACACUGGGACUGAGACACGGCCCACGACUCCUACGGGAGGCAGCAGUGGGGAAUCUUGCGCAAUGGGCGGAAAGCCUGACGCCAGCGACGCCGCGUGAGGGAUGACGGCCU